UUUCUGGUUCCUCGACAGGGGCUGCUUCGAGUUCAGCCUCCGCGACAGGGGCUGCAACCUCUUCAACAGGAGCCGCAACUGGUUCCUCAGCUGCUGGCUCCUCUGUUUCUAUGGCUGCAGGUUCUGCUGCAGCCACAGGUUCUUCAGCAGCAGGGGCUGCUUCCUCAGCGGGAGCAGGCUCUUCUACUGGUGCUGCUGCUGAUUCGACGACGGAUUCGCUUUCUACAACUGGGGUUGGUUCCUCUACUUUGGUUUCCUCUGGGGUUGUUUUUACCUCAACCUCAGCUGGAGCAGUCUCUACUGCUGCUACUGGUGCAGAUUCAACCUUCAGACAAAAUUUGAAACAAUUAGUUGGGAAUAUGUUACCGUCAUGUUAGUAUGUUUAUUUUAGUUCCUACAUUUACUAGGAAUCUUUAUAUUCGAUCGCCGAUUUAUAUGACAAGUAGAAAAUAUAGAGAACUUAAAUGAAGUGACAUAGUUAGUGAAGAUUUAGCUGAUCCUAACUUGCUUGGGGUUGACGUGUAGUAGUAAUUAUGUUGUUUUGAAUUCUUGAUAUCAAACUAUGGUCAUAAAAAAGCUCUGAUCACUGACCUUCUCAAGAUAUUUCAUUAUAAAACCUUUAUCCAAGAAUGAUCUAAUAAUAUUUUCAAGAUAUAAAAUGUAUUGAUCAACCAUUAGAUUUUAUUCACUUCAUCAGAUUGUGUAAAAUGUAAAUCUUGAAAAGGGCACUGAUCAGUUGAAGAACAGGUUAGCUAACUGAUCUUGAUCAGUUUUAAGUUUUCAUUUAGAAAGAAAGGAAGAAAAAAAUUGCAAAAUAACAUUACUAUAAAAGUACCUCAACGCUGGCCAUUGGAAAUUGAAGGAAUAAAGUUGAAACUAAGAAGAUGGGAAGAGAAGAAAAAUAAUGAAAUGGAGGGGGUCUUAGGAAGAAAAGGUGGCCAAAGUGUUUCUAAUUGUGAUUGGUGAUGAAAAAGGAUCAAAUGAGAGAGCAAUAUAUAGAGAAGUAAAAUCGACUGUAUUAAUUAAAAUAAUGGAAAGAAAAGAAUCUUGAGGGAUAUACAAAUUCACAUCUCACAUCACUGACAUAAAAGGGUGACCAAAAAUAUUAGGAUGUCUAGUUGUAAAUGUAUUUACUUUACUUUAUGCUUACAAAAAAAUUAAUAUUAAAAUCCAAUCAAGUCGAGGUCGGUUGUAUAAAUUCUCAUUGUAUGUUAUAUCCCAAAUGUAUUCUGCAUUUUAAAGAUGCAUUAUAAAUUAAUUAAUUUCAUGUUGAUUAUCGAUAUACCGUAAUUUACCUCUUUCAUUCAAAUUGAAAACGAUGAUAUUAAUAAGUUACAUAAAUAAUAAUUACGCUUCAAUCUUAAAUAAGUUGGAGUUGAUUUCGUCAUAAAUUGACAAAUUUUGCGCUGACCUCCAACUUAUCACAACUCUCAUCUUUUAUCCGAGCUUGAAACCGGCAAUAUAAGCAAGCUCACAUCCGCUAUUUGAGAUUUUCCAACACAACUUUUUUCUUUUUGCUAAUUGAUUUUCAAGAUGAGGAGCUUUUUCUUUGGUAAGAUUAUUAUUAAUUAUUUAUUAAAUCAUUUAUUAGUUUGUUUAAAGGCAUUUGUUUGAUUGGGAAAAGGCAAAGUCACAUGGUGGUGGAGGCCAUUUCCUAUAAACAGCUAUGAUAUCUUUUUUCUUGAGUGGUUUCUUCUGUGUUUUGUGCAGUAGGGCACGUAGGUGACUAAGACUAUAUAUCAUGCUUUCAUGUUCUAAUAAUUUUUAAAAAUAAUAUUUUUCUUUUUCUGUUCCAGCUUCUUCUUUUUUUAAUUACUAUUUUGUUAACUCUAGAUCUUCACAACAAAAUCUCUUGGUUUAAGGGAAUGAAUCUAAUUGCUAAUUCAUGCAUAUACUCAUACAAAAUGACUCAGCUUUAUUCUAAUUUUAAUAUAUGUAUUUAUUGGAUCCUGUAAACUAUUGAUACUAUAUUACUUUAUCAUACAAAUUACCACCAAGAUUUUGACAAAGUAGUGACAGAGUAAAUACAUCACUAAUUACUAAAUUAAACAUUUAUGAAAAGUAAAAUGAAAAGAUUAAGCUAACAGGUUGGCAGUUAAAAUGCAAAGACAUCAAAUUUUAAGGCAACCAUAGAGUGAAUAAGCUUUUAGUUUUAUACGUUAACACGAGAAUAAAAAAUAUUCAACUUGAUAAUAUUUACGCCCUCUAUUUCAUUUUAUGCCACAUUAUUUUUUUAUUAGUCCAUUAAAAAAAAUAUUUUUACAUUUAAGAUAAAUUUAACUUUAUAUUUUUUAUUUACCAUUAAAUGAGAAGCUUUUAUCGACACAUAAAUAUUAUAACAUGUUCAAAACACAAGUUUCAAAAUA
This 2366-nucleotide long non-coding RNA is filed under the name Nicotiana tabacum (common tobacco). Its description in RNAcentral is "long non-coding RNA (NTAB_LNC000710)". The record is from RNAcentral. Lineage: Eukaryota; Viridiplantae; Streptophyta; Magnoliopsida; Solanales; Solanaceae.